Molecule: ribosomal RNA, 468 nt
Filed under: uncultured bacterium
Lineage: Bacteria
Description: partial 16S ribosomal RNA
Rfam family: Bacterial small subunit ribosomal RNA
Source: RNAcentral
GACGAACGCUGGCGGCGUGCUUAACACAUGCAAGUCGAACGGAAAGGCCCUGCUUUUGUGGGGUGCUCGAGUGGCGAACGGGUGAGUAACACGUGAGUAACCUGCCCUUGACUUUGGGAUAACUUCAGGCAACUGGGGCUACUACCGGAUAGGAGCUCCUGCUGCAUGGUGGGGGUUGGAAAGUUUCGGCGGUUGGGGCUGGACUCUCGGCUUAUCAGCUUGUUGGUGGGGUAGUGGCUUACCAAGGCUUUGACGGGUAGCCGGCCUGAGAGGGUGACCGGCCACAUUGGGACUGCGAUACGGCCCAGACUCCUACGGGAGGCAGCAGUGGGGAAUAUUGCACAAUGGGCGGAAGCCUGAUGCAGCAACGCCGCGUGCGGGAUGACGGCCUUCGGGUUGUAAACCGCUUUCGCCUGUGACGAAGCGUGAGUGACGGUAAUGGGUAAAGAAGCACCGGCUAACUACGUG